RNAcentral lists this ribosomal RNA (497 nucleotides) under uncultured bacterium. RNAcentral's name for it is "partial 16S ribosomal RNA". It matches the Rfam family "Bacterial small subunit ribosomal RNA", at positions 28 to 507 of the family's 1533-position model. The record is from RNAcentral.
GAUGAACGCUGGCGGCGUGCCUAAUACAUGCAAGUCGAGCGAACGGACGAGAAGCUUGCUUCUCUGAUGUUAGCGGCGGACGUGUGAGUAACACGUGGAUAACCUACCUAUAAGACUGGGAUAACUUCGGGAAACCGGAGCUAAUACCGGAUAAUAUUUUGAACCGCAUUGUUCAAAAGUGAAAGACGGUCUUGCUGUCACUUAUAGAUGCAUCCCCGCUGCAUUAGCUAGUUGGUAAGUUAACGGCUUUCCAAGGGAACGAUGCAUAGCCGACCUGAGAGGGGGAUCGGCCACCCGGGAACUGGGACACGGUCCAGACUCCUACGGGAGGCAGCAGUAGGGAAUCUUCCGCAAUGGGCGAAAGCCUGACGGAGCAACGCCGCGUGAGUGAUGAAGGUCUUCGGAUCGUAAAACUCUGUUAUUAGGGAAGAACAUAUGUGUAAGUAACUGUGCACAUCUUGACGGUACCUAAUCAGAAAGCCACGGCUAACUACGUG